RNAcentral lists this ribosomal RNA (253 nucleotides) under uncultured bacterium. RNAcentral's name for it is "partial 16S ribosomal RNA". It matches the Rfam family "Bacterial small subunit ribosomal RNA", at positions 524 to 776 of the family's 1533-position model. The record is from RNAcentral.
GACGUAGGAGGCGAGCGUUGUCCGGAUUCAUUGGGCGUAAAGAGCGCGCAGGCGGCUUGGUAAGUCGGAUGUGAAAACCCGAGGCUCAACCUCGGGUCUGCAGUCGAUACGGGCGGACUGGAGUUCGGCAGGGGAGACUGGAAUUCCUGGUGUAGCGGUGAAAUGCGCAGAUAUCAGGAGGAACACCGGUGGCGAAGGCGGGUCUCUGGGCCGAUACUGACGCUGAGGAGCGAAAGCGUGGGGAGCGAACAGG